RNAcentral lists this ribosomal RNA (197 nucleotides) under uncultured Nitrosomonas sp. Its description in RNAcentral is "partial 16S ribosomal RNA". It matches the Rfam family "Bacterial small subunit ribosomal RNA", at positions 335 to 525 of the family's 1533-position model. The record is from RNAcentral. Lineage: Bacteria; Pseudomonadati; Pseudomonadota; Betaproteobacteria; Nitrosomonadales; Nitrosomonadaceae.
ACUCCUACGGGAGGCAGCAGUGGGGAAUAUUGCACAAUGGGGGAAACCCUGAUGCAGCCAUGCCGCGUGUGUGAAGAAGGCCUUCGGGUUGUAAAGCACUUUCAGCGAGGAGGAAAGGUUGCAAUGAAUAAUUGUGAUUUAUGACGGUACCGACAGAAAAAGCACCGGCUAACUACGUGCCAGCAGCCGCGGUAAUA